AUGGCAGUACAAUAUAAUAAACAUACAUGUAUUCGUCUAUUGCCGAUAAUUUUUAUAUUUAUCUUAAUACUGGGAAUAUAUUUUAUAUAUAUAAUGUAUCACUGUUUACCAUUAACAUUUGUAAGUCAAAAGAAAGUAUAUGUAUUACAUAAUUUUAAGAGGGGAAUUAUAGAUCUUGUAAUUUUUCACGUUAGCUUAUUUAUGUACUUAAUUAAUUAUAUUUUAUCUAUUGUUGUAUUACCCGGAUACAUACCAAAUACAGAUGAAUGGGCGCUGAAAAAUUUUCCUGAGAAUUAUGUUAGUGAAACAGAAAAUUCCUUAUUGGAAAAAAAAAAACAGGAGAAAGAAGAUAUUGUAAAUGGUGUUCUAAAUAUAAACCGGAUAGAACUCAUCAUUGUCGUGUAUGUAAAACUUGUGUUUUAAAAAAUGGAUCAUCACUGUCCUUGGAUAUAUAAUUGUGUUGGAUAUAAAAAUCAUAAAUAUUUUAUGCUUUCUUUAAUAUAUUGUUGUAUUACUACUAUUUUUUGUUUCAAUAACUAUGUAUCCUACUGUUAGAGAUGCUAUCAAUCACUAUGAGACACCCUUUAAUGAGUUAUUUUUGUUAUUAUUUGGAGAAAUGCUGAAUACUCUUUUAGCUAUUAUUAUAACAUGUUUCUUAUUUUUUUCAUAUAUGGCUUAUUGCCAGGGGUAUGACAACAAUUGAGUUUUGUGAAAAAACGGACAAAUUAUCACAAUCAAACAUAUACGAAAUAUUAUAAUAAGGGUUUAUGGGGAAAUUUUAAGGAUACCUUUGGUGAAUCAGCAUUUUUUUGGUUUUUACCAAUAGGUACUUUUUCAUACAAUUUUUACACAACUUUUACACAAUUUUUUACACAAUUUUUUUACCUAAUUUUUUUUUAUUUUUACUAAUUAUUAUAUUUAUUUAUUCAAAAGUAUUUAUACACUCACUUUCACACACGUACAUAUAUAUAAAUGUUGUUAUAAAUUUAUGAACUUACGCGUU
RNAcentral lists this long non-coding RNA (1003 nucleotides) under Piliocolobus tephrosceles (Ugandan red Colobus). RNAcentral's name for it is "lncRNA (ENSPTEG00000026378.1)". Lineage: Eukaryota; Metazoa; Chordata; Mammalia; Primates; Cercopithecidae. The record is from RNAcentral.